AUGGCGGUUCUUGGUGCGGGUCCACCAGUAGACAUCAACAAUCCACACAUCCAAUGGCUUGGCAGGUGGGCGGUGGAAGAGCACGUCAGGCUGGUACAGGACGGGAUCAAAUUCAACAAAGUGGUGAGAGCCGAGAGUGACGAUGAGUCGGAACUAGGCGUGCUCCUCCAUCUCUUCAUCGAUGCAACCAACGGAGAUGGCAAGGAUGCCAAAUACGAGGCGGUUGCGGACCAGAUUCACGGGAUAUAUAAACCCGGUCUCUUGGAAUUUAAGCCGGCUAACUGA
Molecule: ribosomal RNA, 285 nt
Filed under: Triticum aestivum (bread wheat)
Lineage: Eukaryota; Viridiplantae; Streptophyta; Magnoliopsida; Poales; Poaceae
Description: partial small subunit ribosomal RNA
Source: RNAcentral